GAUGAAGAACGUAGCGAAAUGCGAUAAGUAAUGUGAAUUGCAGAAUUCAGUGAAUCAUCGAGUCUUUGAACGCACAUUGCGCCCCCUGGUAUUCCGGGGGGCAUGCCUGUCCGAGCGUCAUUGCUGCCCUCAAGCACGGCUUGUGUGUUGGGCCCCCGCCCCCCGGCUUCGGGGGGCGGGCCCGAAAGGCAGCGGCGGCACCGCGUCCGGUCCUCGAGCGUAUGGGGCUUCGUCACCCGCUCUGUAGGCCCGGCCGGCGCCCGCCGGCGACCCCAAUCAAUCUUUCCAGGUUGACCUCGGAUCAGGUAGGGAUACCCGCUGAACUUAAGCAUAUCAAAGCGGAGGA
This 346-nucleotide unclassified non-coding RNA is filed under the name soil metagenome. RNAcentral describes it as "partial contains 5.8S ribosomal RNA, internal transcribed spacer 2, and large subunit ribosomal RNA". The stretch from base 1 to 120 matches the Rfam family "5.8S ribosomal RNA", at positions 35 to 154 of the family's 154-position model. The record is from RNAcentral.